UACGUAGGGGGCAAGCGUUGUCCGGAUUCAUUGGGCGUAAAGAGCGUGUAGGCGGCCAGGUAGGUCGGUUGUGAAAACUGGAGGCUCAACCUUCAGAGGUCGACCGAAACCAUCUGGCUAGAGUCCGGGAGAGGAGAGUGGAAUUCCUGGUGUAGCGGUGAAAUGCGCAGAUAUCAGGAAGAACACCCGUGGCGAAGGCGGCUUUCUGGGACGGUACUGACGCUGAGACGCGAAAGCGUGGGGAGCGAACAGG
This 253-nucleotide ribosomal RNA is filed under the name uncultured bacterium. RNAcentral describes it as "partial 16S ribosomal RNA". It matches the Rfam family "Bacterial small subunit ribosomal RNA", at positions 524 to 776 of the family's 1533-position model. The record is from RNAcentral.